ACUCCUACGGGAGGCAGCAGUGGGGAAUAUUGCACAAUGGGCGCAAGCCUGAUGCAGCCAUGCCGCGUGUAUGAAGAAGGCCUUCGGGUUGUAAAGCACUUUCAGUAGGGAGGAAGGUAGUGUAGUUAACACCUGCAUUAUUUGACGUUACCUACAGAAGAAGCACCGGCUAACUCCGUGCCAGCAGCCGCGGUAAUACGGAGGGUGCGAGCGUUAAUCGGAAUUACUGGGCGUAAAGCGCAUGCAGGCGGCCUGUUAAGUCAGAUGUGAAAGCCCGGGGCUUAACCUCGGAAUUGCAUUUGAAACUGGCAGGCUAGAGUCUUGUAGAGGGGGGUAGAAUUU
This 342-nucleotide ribosomal RNA is filed under the name uncultured bacterium. RNAcentral's name for it is "bacterial SSU rRNA". It matches the Rfam family "Bacterial small subunit ribosomal RNA", at positions 335 to 669 of the family's 1533-position model. The record is from RNAcentral.